RNAcentral lists this long non-coding RNA (4718 nucleotides) under Pomacea canaliculata. Its description in RNAcentral is "uncharacterized LOC112575212". Lineage: Eukaryota; Metazoa; Mollusca; Gastropoda; Architaenioglossa; Ampullariidae. The record is from RNAcentral.
AAAUAUAUAUAUAUUACACACAAAUAAUGCAAUUCAGUCAUUUGAAAGCAACUGCGCAAAUACAAAACGUGCGUAUAUGUGCAUAUGCAUCCUGACAGUAUGAAAAUAUGUGCACUAGGUAAGUGACUUAAACAGAUCAGCACAAAUGCAGAUCGAGAAACACAUGAAUACACAAAGUACAUUUACACAUGUGCAGAAAGAGUAUGGUACUCUUUUUCCUAUACUACAGACGAUCCACACCACUUUUGAAGGCUAGUUCUGGGUCAAAUUCUCUUUAAAGUAUUAUCUUCUGGAUAUAUAGACUUUCUUGGGAUAACAUUGUCUUCCACCUUCAUUUGUUUUGUACAAGUCUGUUCAUGGUGCAUGUUAUAAGAUUAUCAAGAACCACAUGCAGACAAGAUGAUAGUAACAACUGUUUACAAUACAAGCUUUUCAAGGUAAAACAUUAAAAAUCAUUAAGAUUCCCAGUGCCAGAACUGUUUGGCUAAACUAUACUAUCUACUGUACCAGAAGCUACAAAUGUUGGAAGCAAAACUUUCUCAACCUGAUGUGUUAAUUAACCAAAAUGUAAUUUAUUUUGUUAAAAUCUGUAAAUGCUUCAAACAUCAAAAGAAAACAGAAAAAUCAAAAGCUACUGACAUUUCCAAAUUCUGAGCAGGGUAGCAAGGACAAACUCCUGACAUUAAUAAUAAGGUUAAUUUAUAUAGCACCUUACCCACCAUCAAAGGCUGGCUCAAAAUUCUUCACAAGCACCUCCCCCCACCCCAAAUUUUUGAAAUAUUAUCUGUAAGUUCUUGAAGCUAUUGAAAUUUGGUGCAUAUUUAUAGUCAGCAGUGAGUUGCAAUUUACAGUAACUCCUUGUAACAUUUGUGUUUAGUAGUGGAACAAUGGCUGAACUGCGAGAGAUGUUUGUGGUGGUAAGAAAAAUACAUGUAUAUCGAUAUCAUCGCAUCUGUGAAAAAUCUUGAACAUUUGAAUGGUUAUCCUUCCCACCAGAAAGUGCAGUCUUCAGUCUAUCAGAGUAAGACAUAUAUCUUUACAUUUGAAAAGUGAUUUAGUAGCACUUCUUUGUAUUCUUUCUACUAAUAUAGAUGGCCUCAUUAAGAGCAGACUCCAGAUCACAGGAAUUAUGGAUUAUUUAUGCCUUUGCAUAUAAUGUUUAAUUUUGCUCAUGUUUCAGAUAGGUGUGAAUACCUGAUAUAGGUACAAUAUAUAACAUAAAUUGUAGGUGUGCACUUCUAGAAACUACCAGCUCAUGGUGUACAGGGAUAUAGGAGAGUGGAGUAUGGUGUCAACUGGUGGAGGUGACCUUUCAGGCACAGGACUCUAUCAACAUUGUGGGAAGUCUGUGAAAGGUCAGGGGAUAAGAUGGUGAAGCCUGCAUGUUUCUAGCACCCUGCAGGUCUUUACCCACUGCUUAACCAAGCUUAUAAGGUACAAAGGAUAAACAGCCGCAGUACUACAUUUAAGGUGGUGCUGCGCUUGAAAAGGAAAACGAAUUAAUUCUGGCAUGCUAUCACUGCCACAAAUUUAAUUAGCCCUGCUUUCACUUUCAUCUAGAAAUGCUAAUGCAUAUUUGUGACCAGUACUUGCCUAGCAACAUACUGUGCAUGCCUUUCGAAAAGUGAAAGUGAGUGGGUUUUUCUUGACUAAAAAAAAGUGAAGAUCCUACUAGUAUUUUAACGCACACCUGUCAUUCACUGCAGUAUGUGAGCAUGCAAAUAGUCUGCCUAUAAGAAAACCUAUGACAUACUUCGGACAAAAAUAUGCAUUUGUGGGCGUGUAUAUGAGAAGCAAAUAAAUUUCCACCAGAGGACUUUGUAUUCUCCUAGCGUGAUCUUCUUUUAAUGCCAGGCCUGACAAGAAGGGGGGACAGGAAGGUCUGGUGUACCUGGGACCACAGUUGUGAACAGGGCCCUGCCUUGGUCAGUGGAUUGACCGUGACUUUUAACAGAGUGUGCAUGCGUAUACAUAUAUAUGCUUUAUCGAACCCACAACCGGCUGCAUUGCUGAAUUCUUUGAUGCACAACACAAGAUUAUUCUCAUAAUCUGAUAACUUAUGUCUGUCACUAUCAAACACAUUGUGACUUCUUAAUUCGAAUAGCUUUUGUAUUUUUGAAUUGUGAGUCACUUGUUUUAAUUUUGUAUGUCUUUUUCUUCUUCGUUUACUUCUCCUGAAAGUUGAAUAAAGAUUUUGUCACUAUUAAUUCCUCUCUAUCUUUUGGAGUUUGUGUUAAAGGGGUAUAAACAGACCCUUGAUUGAUGCAUUGCAUCAUAUAAUGUACACUGUACCUUUGAAAAAUAAUAACAAUAACAGUCUUGAUGAGAAGUCAAUUAAACAAAGUAGUAAAAUGACUUUCUAAUGACUGAAGAGUAUUGUACAUUUGCAGCUCAAGGCAGGAGAGAAAGCAUAUUCAUGGAAAUUAAUCUCGAAGUCAGAUGCUAAACAAACGGACAAAUAUAGCAGCGCUUAUCUGCUCAAUGCCAUUAGCAGACAGUGCAUCCUGCAAAACGGCUGCCAAAGUACUAGACAGGUGGUUGGGUAAGGAGAGGGCAAGAAGUCUUAAAAUCUGCGAAACAGGAGGUGUAUCUAACCCUGAAUUUAAAGGUUCACACAAGUGCAAAAAAUAAUAAUCUUGACGAAUCAACUGGGCUGAACUCAUAAUAGGGUACUAAUUAGGUACAAUCUGAUUGAAUGACGCAGUCAAAAACGUCUGACAUCAGGACUGUACCUUGAUUCCCUUAUGUUGCCAAGACUACAGCAAUGGGAAACCUAUAACCAAGCUAGACAUAUCCAUGGACCACAGUCAUUCAUGAAGUCAGGGAUUUGGCCUCCUUCUGUGCAUGGUGAUGCUUGUAUAUUUAUUUGCAUCUUGGGCACUGGCGGGGUCUAUUUACUCAGAUUUUGAACGAUACAAUCCCUUGUAGAAUUUUAACACCUCUACCAGUCCAAUGCCAAAAUCAACCGAAGUGAGCUGUCUGCUGCCUUUAUAACUGAUGAAGAACUUCUGGCCAUCGUAGUACUCCCCAUCCACCAAAAAGAAAUGUUAAAGUAGUAGAAAUAGCGCACGUUUUUUCUUGUGCACAAAUGAAAACAGAACACAAACAAUUUAAAAAGAAGAUUGGCAUACAGCCUUUAAGUCUGGCUUGUGGCCAAACAGCCAGGGAACCAGCGAACACACGAAAAAGAGAUUGGGUGGAUGGCUGGAGAAAGACCCAAACUCUGUAGAAUUUAAACUAAGCCUCUGAAUAUUUUGUGCAAAGUGUCGGCUACCGUCGAGACGAUACAAAGAUAUUUAUGUGGGAAAGAAGCCAAAACAAAACAAACCAAAAAAAUCGUUGUCUUUCUGCGGUGCGCGUGCAUCCGUUUUAAGAAACACUUAACCACCUGUAGACACAUGCAGUCGCUCUCACCAACGUAUUGGUUUGAGAGGGGCGGGUGCGCCCAACAACAAUACUUGGCUUUGAGGAGGCAAGCAUCUAUUUAAGUGCCUUUCUCCGUGCUCCGAGGAGUUAAAUACCGCGCAAGCUUUCGCUCUGGCUUUCAGACUUUGAAUAGGCUCUUUGUAUCGGUUUCCCGUCUUCAUUCCUUAGCAUUCACGAAGGUGACCAGAAAGAAGCCAGCAGUACUGAUAUUAUGCUUAAACCUAUUUAAGCUCGAUCUGUCUUGAGAGCAGCUUGGUUUUAUUUUUUAAAAGCUUCUAUAUUUUAUCGGCGUCUUAACGCCUGAAUUUGAUAGGCACUGACACGCCUCUGCAUUCUACGAUUCGUGUGAAUUAAAACUCCACGGUAAUGUAGUUUGUAUACACGGCUACACGCACAUGGCUGUGAUCAUAUUAACAUGCAGAACACAUCAUCACAACUGAGUUUAUCAUGGGAUAAUGUAUAGUCUGCUGAAACAGGAAAAAAAAGUUUCACGUGCGCCAGAAUGGUUGGCCAGAUCAUCUAACACACCAAGCUGGGUCGCAGUAAAGGUUCUAUACAUUCUCUCCACAGAUGCUUUGCAUGGUAAGCAGGCUCUUGACCUUAUGAUAAAAUUCCGCGCGUCAGAGCCCCUGAUAAACCCUGGUGAAUUAAUAACUCCAUUAACAGACACUAGCACUUCAUAUUUGCAUGCAGCACCACCAAUUUAAGAAAAAUGCACUGAAACAUUUUUAGCGUCCACCAGCUUUUUUUUUGUAGUUAUCUAUUUAUUCCUCCUUCAUCCUAGCCGAGCAACUAUUUGUCUCCCAAGAUUUAUUUAGUGAUUUAUUUUGCACGACUUUUAAACACACCACUUGGGCUGACUACACCAUGACUUUAUACGGCUUGUAUAGUGCUGUAAACCGAAAACUCAUUCUGUUCAUUCCCCUUCUACCUGAGAUGCGUGCCUCAGAGCACCUGGGUAUUUGCCUUUGAAGGAAAGUGAAUGUUUACUUGCACCGAUGUCUGUGAAUCAGCAUGGGUUCUAGCGUGCGAAACAUCACGUGACAGGAAGCUGCCAGAGUUCAGGUAAUGAGCAGAGCUGACGCAUUGUUCAGGAAUUUAAACCUGCCGACGCCCUAUUUACUACUCAAAAAACCAAGGCAAGAUAGCAACAGACUGGUACUCAGCAAAAUGGCUCAGAGUCAGAAGCUGAGGUCUUGGAGCUCUUUGUGAGAGACCAGCUUGCCAGACCAGAGUCAGAAUUGCCAUCAACAGGGAUGAUUCCAUCAUCGAGCUGAUAACGGGUCCCAUGC